RNAcentral lists this ribosomal RNA (486 nucleotides) under uncultured bacterium. Its description in RNAcentral is "partial 16S ribosomal RNA". It matches the Rfam family "Bacterial small subunit ribosomal RNA", at positions 30 to 507 of the family's 1533-position model. The record is from RNAcentral.
AUUGAACGCUGGCGGCAUGCCUUACACAUGCAAGUCGAACGGCAGCGCGGACUUCGGUCUGGCGGCGAGUGGCGAACGGGUGAGUAAUACAUCGGAACGUACCCUGUUGUGGGGGAUAACUAGUCGAAAGAUUAGCUAAUACCGCAUACGACCUGAGGGUGAAAGUGGGGGACCGGAAACGGCCUCAUGCAGCAGGAGCGGCCGAUGUUUGAUUAGCUAGUUGGUGGGGUAAAGGCCCACCAAGGCGACGAUCAGUAGCCGGUCUGAGAGGACGAUCAGCCACACUGGAACUGAGACACGGCCCAGACUCCUACGGGAGGCAGCAGUGGGGAAUUUUGGACAAUGGGGGCAACCCUGAUCCAGCAAUGCCGCGUGUGUGAAGAAGGCCUUCGGGUUGUAAAGCACUUUUGUCCGGAAAGAAAUCGCGCUGGUUAAUACCUGGCGUGGAUGACGGUACCGGAAGAAUAAGCACCGGCUAACUACGUG